CCUACGGGAGGCAGCAGUGGGGGAUAUUGCACAAUGGGGGGAACCCUGAUGCAGCGACGCCGCGUGGGUGAAGGAGCGUUUCGGCGCGUAAAGCCCUAUCGGCAGGGAAGAAGGAGGACGGUACCUGACUAAGAAGCCCCGGCUAACUACGUGCCAGCAGCCGCGGUAAUACGGAGGGGGCAAGCGUUAUCCGGAUGUACUGGGUGUAAAGGGGGCGCAGACGGCAGCGCAAGCCAGGAGUGAAAGCCCGGGGCGCAACCCCGGGCCUGCUCUUGAAACUGGGCGGCUGGAGUGCAGGAGGGGCAGGCGGAAUUCCGUGGGGAGCGGUGAAAUGCGUAGAUAUCAGGAGGAACACCGGUGGCGAAGGCGGACUGCUGGACUGCGACUGACGUUGAGGCCCGAAAGCGUGGGGAGCAAACAGGAUUAGAUACCCCUGUAGUC
Molecule: ribosomal RNA, 441 nt
Filed under: uncultured bacterium
Lineage: Bacteria
Description: partial 16S ribosomal RNA
Rfam family: Bacterial small subunit ribosomal RNA
Source: RNAcentral